AGAGUUUGAUCAUGGCUCAGAAUCAACGCUGGCGGCGUGCCUAACACAUGCAAGUCGAACGAGAAAGUGGAGCAAUCCAUGAGUAAAGUGGCGCACGGGUGAGUAACACGUGACUAACCUACCCUUGAGUGGGGAAUAACCUAGGGAAACCUGGGCUAAUACCGCAUAACACCUACGGGUCAAAGGAGCAAUUCGCUUAAGGAGGGGGUCGCGGCAGAUUAGCUAGUUGGCGGGGUAAUGGCCCACCAAGGCAGUGAUCUGUAUCCGGCCUGAGAGGGCGCACGGACACACUGGAACUGAAACACGGUCCAGACUCCUACGGGAGGCAGCAGUGGGGAAUUUUGCGCAAUGGGGGAAACCCUGACGCAGCAACGCCGCGUGGAGGAUGAAGUCCCUUGGGACGUAAACUCCUUUCGACCGGGAAGAUUAUGACGGUACCGGAAGAAGAAGCCCCGGCUAACUUCGUGCCAGCAGCCGCGGUAAUACGAGGGGGGCAAGCGUUGUUCGGAAUUAUUGGGCGUAAAGGGUGCGUAGGCGGUUCGGUAAGUCUUGUGUGAAAUCUUCGGGCUCAACUCGAAGUCUGCACGAGAAACUGCCGGGCUUGAGUGUGGGAGAGGUGAGUGGAAUUUCCGGUGUAGCGGUGAAAUGCGUAGAUAUCGGAAGGAACACCUGUGGCGAAAGCGGCUCACUGGACCACAACUGACGCUGAGGCACGAAAGCUAGGGGAGCAAACAGGAUUAGAUACCCUGGUAGUCCUAGCCCUAAACGAUGAUCGCUUGGUGUGACGGGUACCCAAUCCCGCCGUGCCGAAGCUAACGCGUUAAGCGAUCCGCCUGGGGAGUACGGUCGCA
RNAcentral lists this ribosomal RNA (851 nucleotides) under uncultured bacterium. Its description in RNAcentral is "bacterial SSU rRNA". It matches the Rfam family "Bacterial small subunit ribosomal RNA", at positions 8 to 890 of the family's 1533-position model. The record is from RNAcentral.